GACGAACGCUGGCGGCGUGCUUAACACAUGCAAGUCGAGCGGUAAGGCCCUUUCGGGGGUACGACGAGCGGCGAACGGGUGAGUAACACGUGGGUGACCUGCCCUCCAGCUCUGGGAUAAGCCUGGGAAACCGGGUCUAAUACUGGAUAUGACUCCAUGACGCAUGUUGUGGGGUGGAAAGCCUUGUGCGGCUGAGGAUGGGCCCGCGGCCUAUCAGCUUGUUGGUGGGGUGAGGCCUACCAAGGCGACGACGGGUAGCCGGCCUGAGAGGGC
This 273-nucleotide ribosomal RNA is filed under the name uncultured bacterium. Its description in RNAcentral is "partial 16S ribosomal RNA". It matches the Rfam family "Bacterial small subunit ribosomal RNA", at positions 28 to 301 of the family's 1533-position model. The record is from RNAcentral.